GACAGAGGGUGCAAACGUUGCUCGGAAUCACUGGGCGUAAAGGGCGUGUAGGCGGGUAGGCAAGUCGGGCGUGAAAUCCCCGGGCUCAACCUGGGAACUGCGUUUGAAACUACAAGGCUAGAGUGUAGCAGAGGGGGGGUAGAAUUCCACGUGUAGCAGUGAAAUGCGUAGAGAUGUGGAGGAAUACCAAUGGCGAAGGCAGCCCCCUGGGUUAACACUGACGCUCAUGCACGAAAGCGUGGGGAGCAAACAGG
This 254-nucleotide ribosomal RNA is filed under the name uncultured bacterium. RNAcentral's name for it is "partial 16S ribosomal RNA". It matches the Rfam family "Bacterial small subunit ribosomal RNA", at positions 524 to 776 of the family's 1533-position model. The record is from RNAcentral.